Molecule: unclassified non-coding RNA, 337 nt
Filed under: soil metagenome
Description: partial contains 5.8S ribosomal RNA, internal transcribed spacer 2, and large subunit ribosomal RNA
Rfam family: 5.8S ribosomal RNA (bases 1-120)
Source: RNAcentral
GAUGAAGAACGUAGCGAAAUGCGAUAAGUAGUGUGAAUUGCAGAAUUCAGUGAAUCAUCGAAUCUUUGAACGCACAUUGCGCCCCUUGGUAUUCCAUGGGGCAUGCCUGUUCGAGCGUCAUUUGUACCUUCAAGCUCUGCUAGGUGUUGGGUGUUUGUCUCGCCUCCGCGUGUAGACUCGCCUCAAAACAAUUGGCAGCCGGCGUAUUGAUUUCGGAGCGCAGUACAUCUCGCGCUUUGCACUCAUAACGACGACGUCCAAAAGUACAUUUUUACACUCUUGACCUCGGAUCAGGUAGGGAUACCCGCUGAACUUAAGCAUAUCAAUAAGCGGAGGA